Long non-coding RNA from Melanotaenia boesemani (Boeseman's rainbowfish), 97 nucleotides. RefSeq lists it as uncharacterized. The record is from RefSeq and is a predicted model, not a curated record. The transcript has 3 exons. NCBI's taxonomy places the organism in Eukaryota, Metazoa, Chordata, Actinopteri, Atheriniformes, Melanotaeniidae.
GUUGAUCAGGUGGAGGUCCUUGUUAACCAGGUGGAGAUCCUUGUUGAUCGGGUGGAGGUCCUUGUUAACUAGGUGGAGGUCCUUGUUGAUCAGGUGG